RNAcentral lists this ribosomal RNA (453 nucleotides) under uncultured bacterium. Its description in RNAcentral is "bacterial SSU rRNA". It matches the Rfam family "Bacterial small subunit ribosomal RNA", at positions 340 to 786 of the family's 1533-position model. The record is from RNAcentral.
UACGGGAGGCAGCAGUGGGGAAUAUUGCACAAUGGGCGCAAGCCUGAUGCAGCCAUGCCGCGUGUAUGAAGAAGGCCUUCGGGUUGUAAAGUACUUUCAGUCGUGAGGAAGGUGUUAAGGUUAAUAACCUUAGCAAUUGACGUUAGCGACAGAAGAAGCACCGGCUAACUCCGUGCCAGCAGCCGCGGUAAUACGGAGGGUGCGAGCGCUAAUCGGAAUUACUGGGCGUAAAGGGCACGCAGGCGGUUAAUUAAGUUGGAUGUGAAUCCCCGGGCUUAACCUGGGAAUGGCAUUCAAGACUGGUUAGCUAGAGUCUUGUAGAGGGGGUUAGAAUUCCAUGUGUAGCGGUGAAAUGCGUAGAGAUGUGGAGGAAUACCGGUGGCGAAGGCGGCCCCUGGGACAAGACUGACGCUCAUGUGCGAAAGCGUGGGGAGCAAACAGGAUUAGGAUACC